This 556-nucleotide ribosomal RNA is filed under the name uncultured bacterium. RNAcentral's name for it is "partial 16S ribosomal RNA". It matches the Rfam family "Bacterial small subunit ribosomal RNA", at positions 355 to 900 of the family's 1533-position model. The record is from RNAcentral.
UGGGGAAUUUUGGACAAUGGGCGAAAGCCUGAUCCAGCAAUGCCGCGUGUGUGAAGAAGGCCUUCGGGUUGUAAAGCACUUUUGUCCGGAAAGAAAUCCUUGGCUCUAAUACAGUCGGGGGAUGACGGUACCGGAAGAAUAAGCACCGGCUAACUACGUGCCAGCAGCCGCGGUAAUACGUAGGGUGCAAGCGUUAAUCGGAAUUACUGGGCGUAAAGCGUGCGCAGGCGGUUUGCUAAGACCGAUGUGAAAUCCCCGGGCUCAACCUGGGAACUGCAUUGGUGACUGGCAGGCUAGAGUAUGGCAGAGGGGGGUAGAAUUCCACUGUAGCAGUGAAAUGCGUAGAGAUGUGGAGGAAUACCGAUGGCGAAGGCAGCCCCCCUGGGCCAAUACUGACGCUCAUGCACGAAAAGGCGUGGGGAGCAAAACAGGAUUAGAUACCCUGGUAGUCCACGCCCCUAAACGAUGUCAACUAGUUGUUGGGGAUUCAUUUCCUUAGUAACGUAGCUAACGCGUGAAGUUGACCGCCUGGGGAGUACGGUCGCAAGAUUAAAAC